CCUACGGGUGGCAGCAGUGAGGAAUAUUGGUCAAUGGACGAAAGUCUGAACCAGCCAUGCCGCGUGCAGGAUGACGGCUCUAUGGGUUGUAAACUGCUUUUGUAAUAGAGUAAACCGCCCUACGUGUAGGUUCUUGCAAGUAUUUUACGAAUAAGGAUCGGCUAACUCCGUGCCAGCAGCCGCGGUAAUACGGAGGAUCCAAGCGUUAUCCGGAUUUAUUGGGUUUAAAGGGUGCGUAGGCGGUUUGAUAAGUUAGAGGUGAAAUACCGGUGCUCAACACCGGAACUGCCUCUAAUACUGGUGAUCUAGAGAGUAGUUGCGGUAGGCGGAAUGCAUGGUGUAGCGGUGAAAUGCUUAGAGAUCAUACAGAACACCGAUUGCGAAGGCAGCUUACCAAACUAUAUCUGACGUUGAGGCACGAAAGCGUGGGUAGCAAACAGGAUUAGAUACCCGAGUAGUC
RNAcentral lists this ribosomal RNA (460 nucleotides) under uncultured bacterium. RNAcentral's name for it is "partial 16S ribosomal RNA". It matches the Rfam family "Bacterial small subunit ribosomal RNA", at positions 338 to 795 of the family's 1533-position model. The record is from RNAcentral.